Myripristis murdjan (pinecone soldierfish) is the source of this 727-nucleotide long non-coding RNA. RefSeq lists it as uncharacterized. Lineage: Eukaryota; Metazoa; Chordata; Actinopteri; Holocentriformes; Holocentridae. The transcript is spliced from 6 exons. The record is from RefSeq and is a predicted model, not a curated record.
CAACAAUGAAGUGAUAUUAUACUUUAGUAUAACAAAUGAUUCUCUUGUGAUUGCAUCAACAUGAAUACAUGAGUGUUGUAACCUCCAAUGUAAAAGGUUUAAAAUGUAUAAUAGUGAAAGAAUGAAAUGCUUAAGUUUGUUUUGUACUUUCACAACACACCCCUCCAUGUAACCUUUUAUUUUGUCUUACUGCUUUCGAAUGUGGUUCUCCCUGUGACUGAUGACUACAGGACAUUUGCUGAACGAAGAGAAAAGGACUCUGAAAUUCUCAAAGAAAAAUCAUGUGAAAAUAUGAAAAACUCACAGAAGAAGCAACAAGAAGCCUUUGCAAAGCGAAUGCAAAAGAAAUACAAAAAUUUAACUUUUGAGUCUUAAAGAUUUGGUCAGAAGAGGCAGUUCACAGGGUUGAAGCUGUGGUGGGACCAUACAAACUAUAUGACUCAUCGUUAAAAACACUUCAAGGGACAAAUUGGCUUUCAGAUGAGGUAAUUGACAGUUACCUUCACAUCCUUGCAGAGGAGCAGAAGGACCACAUUUUUUUGCUGUCUUCUGUUGUGUCAACAUCUCUGUUUAAUGGACAGUUUAGAUGUGUGAGGAAGAUGAUCAUCCCAAACAGGGAUUUGUGGCUGUGUCCAUACAACACAGGAGGGCAUUGGAUUCUUGUGAUUGUGAAAAUGUCAGGAAAGGCCCUAGUUGUUAUGGACCCCUUGGGAAAUGAGCAGAGGUA